RNAcentral lists this ribosomal RNA (204 nucleotides) under Triticum aestivum (bread wheat). RNAcentral's name for it is "partial small subunit ribosomal RNA". Lineage: Eukaryota; Viridiplantae; Streptophyta; Magnoliopsida; Poales; Poaceae. The record is from RNAcentral.
AUGCCGCAUUGGCUCCGGGGUGGAGAGAUAAGUUCCUGGCGUACAAGCGCCUCAAGGUGCUCGUCCGACUCGUCUCCGGCUCCUCGCCGCACCGUGCCGCAGCCGAGGCCGCCUUCGUGCGGCUCCUCAACGACGAGGUCGACAGGUUCAAUGUCUUCUUCCUUGAGCAGGAGGAAGAGUUCAUCAUCCGCCACAGGGAAGUAA